UGCAGCAAAUAUCCCCAUACGAGAGGAAGAAUCCUUUGCAAGAGGAGCACCCAGGAGAUUUGUGGCACAGAUGGGGAGACACAUAAGAAUGAAUGCAUGCUUUGUAACAGAAUCCUGAAAACAAAAUCUGAGAUUGGUAUAAAGAACAUAGGACCGUGUCCCAAGAUUUAAAAGAGUUCCAAGUGACAGAAAGUUUCAGGAAGAAAGACAUACAAAGAUGGAAGAGCUGACCUUCAGAAUAUCUGAAAAUGCUGAAUCCUCAAGUGUUAGAGAGCAUGUCUUCAUCCUACAAUUAAGGAACAAUUUUAAUUCCUGUAAAGUAUGGGCAACAGCCCUUAUACUGGACUGUGUGGGAGCGAGGGAGAGACAUUACUAAACCAGGAAAAUCAUUACUUUUGCUAUUCUGGUCAUUUCCUUAUUGAGUUAUAGUUUGACCACUUCCAGAACACCAUAUCACACCCACAAUUCACAGUAAAAAUAAAACAAAAUGUCCCUAAUUGUUCCUUUUGUCCAUGUCUAAGGAUAUGUUUAAUUAUCAGAAGACUUUCUUUUAUUUUAAUCCUUUAAUUUGCUAGUAGGAGUAAGAAAGUUAAUUGAGAGAUCUUCUGAUGUUUAAACAGACUGAUUUCUUGAACUUGAAUUUAUUUUUUAUGAUUUUAUGCAACAUAUGAACACAUUCCUUAAUACCAUUCUUCACAGGUAAUUUUCAUAACAA
Molecule: long non-coding RNA, 715 nt
Organism: Sceloporus undulatus (fence lizard)
Lineage: Eukaryota; Metazoa; Chordata; Lepidosauria; Squamata; Phrynosomatidae
Exons: 4
Source: RefSeq, a predicted model, not a curated record